Myodes glareolus (Bank vole) is the source of this 1035-nucleotide long non-coding RNA. RefSeq lists it as uncharacterized. Lineage: Eukaryota; Metazoa; Chordata; Mammalia; Rodentia; Cricetidae. The record is from RefSeq and is a predicted model, not a curated record.
CCAUGAUGAAGGCAUUUCCUGUUCAUUCCUCUCAGUAGCAGCAACUAGAUCCUGGCUUAGUCUGGUGUUGUUGGUUGUUUUACUCUUCACUCUUUUGGGGGUGCCCACCCCCAGCUCCCAAAUAAUAUCACACACGGAGGCUAAUUCAUAAUUAUAAAUGCCUGGCCUAAUCUUGACUUGUUGCUAGCCAGCUUUUCUUAACUUAAAUGAUCCCAACUACCUUUUGCCUCUGGACUUUUUCCUUUUCUUACUUCUUUAUGCCAUACUUUCCUCCUUACUCCAUGGCUACCUGUGUGGCUGGUCCCUCGCAUCGUCCUCUACUUGUUCUUGCUCUUCCUUCUCUCCCCCCAGAUUUUCCCUCCUCUGUAUUCUCUCUGUCUACCAGCCUCACCUCGCCGUUCUACUGCCUCACUAUUGGCCUUUCGGCCCUUUAUCAGACCAUCAGGUGUUUUAGACUGGCGAAGCCACAGAGUUUCCCAGAGUUAAACAAAUGCAGCAUAAACAAAAGUGACACGCCUUGAAAUAAUAUUCCCCUACAGUCUGGGGGCUACGGGUGGGAGAAGGUGUGAGGUGGAGUCUACCAGACCAGGAAAUACUGCGAGAGACCUAAGAUACCUAAACACUGCUAAAGCCCAACCACUAACCAUAAAGAAAAGCAGACAGAGUCUUGAAGUCUUAAGCACCACACCAAAUGCCGUCUGAUGUUUGAAGGUGCGCUGCGCCUCACAACCCAGUUUCAACAGAGCACUCCCUUGUCCAAGUAGUCACUGAGGCUGACUCAGAUAAGGCAGUUCUCUUGUUUCUGCCUUCCGUGGACUGUGCCACACUCUGACUACCAAGACUCAGCAGCGCAGACUCAAGCAUGAUUCAACACAAAGCCUACUAGUCGGAAAGACAAAGACAGCUAAUCCCCAAGACGUGGCCAGAGGGGUAAUUUGAUGACCUUAGGUGGGGGAAGGAACGACCAUCAGAAAGAAGAUGGAGUGGUUUUGUUUUUUGAGACAGGUCUGGCUGUAAAGCUCUAGCUGUCCUGGA